GCUCGAGUGGCGAACGGGUGAGUAACACGUGAGUAACCUGCCCUUGACUUUGGGAUAACUUCAGGAAACUGAGGCUAAUACCGGAUAGGAGCUCCUGCUGCAUGGUGGGGGUUGGAAAGUUUCGGCGGUUGGGGAUGGACUCGCGGCUUAUCAGCUUGUUGGUGGGGUAGUGGCUUACCAAGGCUUUGACGGGUAGCCGGCCUGAGAGGGUGACCGGCCACAUUGGGACUGAGAUACGGCCCAG
Molecule: ribosomal RNA, 244 nt
Filed under: uncultured Actinomycetales bacterium
Lineage: Bacteria; Bacillati; Actinomycetota; Actinomycetes; Actinomycetales
Description: partial 16S ribosomal RNA
Rfam family: Bacterial small subunit ribosomal RNA
Source: RNAcentral